AGUGGCGAACGGGUGAGUAACAUAUCGGAACGUAUCCAAUAAUGGGGGAUAACUAAUCGAAAGGUUGGCUAAUACCGCAUACGCCCUACGGGGGAAAGCAGGGGAUCUUCGGACCUUGCGUUAAUGGAGCGGCUGAUAUCUGAUUAGCUAGUUGGUGAGGUAAAGGCUCACCAAGGCGACGAUCAGUAGCUGGUCUGAGAGGACGACCAGCCACACUGGAACUGAGACACGGUCCAGACUCCUACGGGAGGCAGCAGUGGGGAAUUUUGGACAAUGGGCGCAAGCCUGAUCCAGCCAUUCCGCGUGAGUGAAGAAGGCCUUCGGGUUGUAAAGCUCUUUCGCAAGGGAAGAAAACUUACUUUCUAAUAAAGAGUGAGGUUGACGGUACCUUGAUAAGAAGCACCGGCUAACUACGUGCCAGCAGCCGCGGUAAUACGUAGGGUGCGAGCGUUAAUCGGAAUUACUGGGCGUAAAGCGUGCGCAGGCGGUUUUGUAAGUCAGAUGUGAAAUCCCCGAGCUCAACUUGGGAACUGCGUUUGAAACUACAAGACUAGAAUAUGUCAGAGGGGGGUAGAAUUCCACGUGUAGCAGUGAAAUGCGUAGAGAUGUGGAGGAAUACCAAUGGCGAAGGCAGCCCCCUGGGAUAAUAUUGACGCUCAUGCACGAAAGCGUGGGGAGCAAACAGGAUUAGAUACCCUGG
Molecule: ribosomal RNA, 700 nt
Filed under: uncultured beta proteobacterium
Lineage: Bacteria; Pseudomonadati; Pseudomonadota; Betaproteobacteria
Description: bacterial SSU rRNA
Rfam family: Bacterial small subunit ribosomal RNA
Source: RNAcentral